Molecule: long non-coding RNA, 308 nt
Filed under: Cucumis sativus (cucumber)
Lineage: Eukaryota; Viridiplantae; Streptophyta; Magnoliopsida; Cucurbitales; Cucurbitaceae
Description: long non-coding RNA (CSAT_LNC002814)
Source: RNAcentral
UACCUUGCAUAAGGAUGAUAUCGACUACUCCCACUAUAGCCUCCCCUUCCAUACAAACCACCUGCUCCACCAUAACUAGCACCAGGACCAGAGUCGUAACCUCCACCAUAACCUGAACUUCCAUAGCUCCCAUAUCCAUCAACCCCUCGUCCAUAUCCUCCUAAGCCACUCGUGCCAUAUCCCCCACCAAACCCACCACUGUAAGGUCCAAAUCGACUAGAAUAACCAAGGGAUGAAUCACCUCGGUAGCCACCUAAGCUAUUGCCUCCAAACCCUCCAUAACCACCACCAAAAUCACCACCACUACC